UGGUUCGUACCGUGAAAAAACCCCUCUACGUGUAGAGGGGUGAUUGUACCGUAAGAAUAAGGAUCGGCUAACUCCGUGCCAGCAGCCGCGGUAAUACGGAGGAUCCAAGCGUUAUCCGGAUUUAUUGGGUUUAAAGGGUGCGUAGGCGGAAUUGUAAGUCAGUGGUGAAAGCCCUUCGCUUAACGAAGGAACUGCCAUUGAUACUGCAAAUCUUGAGUACAUUUGACGAGGGCGGAAUGUGUCAUGUAGCGGUGAAAUGCUUAGAUAUGACACAGAACACCGAUUGCGAAGGCAGCUCUCGAAACUGUAACUGACGCUGAGGCACGAAAGCGUGGGUAUCAAACAGGAUUAGAUACCCUGGUAGUCCACGCUGUAAACCAUGAUUACUCGAUGUUUGCGAUACACUGUAAGCGUCUAAGCGAAAGCGAUAAGUAAUCCACCUGGGGAGUACGCUCGCAAGAGUGAAACUCAAAGGAAUUGACG
This 483-nucleotide ribosomal RNA is filed under the name uncultured Bacteroidota bacterium. RNAcentral's name for it is "SSU rRNA". It matches the Rfam family "Bacterial small subunit ribosomal RNA", at positions 431 to 915 of the family's 1533-position model. Lineage: Bacteria; Pseudomonadati; Bacteroidota. The record is from RNAcentral.